Molecule: ribosomal RNA, 363 nt
Filed under: uncultured Streptococcus sp.
Lineage: Bacteria; Bacillati; Bacillota; Bacilli; Lactobacillales; Streptococcaceae
Description: bacterial SSU rRNA
Rfam family: Bacterial small subunit ribosomal RNA
Source: RNAcentral
UUCGGUACAUCGGUGACAGGUGGUGCAUGGUUGUCGUCAGCUCGUGUCGUGAGAUGUUGGGUUUAAGUCCCGCAACGAGCGCAACCCCUAUUGUUAGUUGCCAUCAUUCAGUUGGGCACUCUAGCGAGACUGCCGGUAAUAAACCGGAGGAAGGUGGGAUGACGUCAAAUCAUCAUGCCCCUUAUGACCUGGGCUACACACGUGCUACAAUGGUUGGUACAACGAGUUGCGAGUCGGUGACGGCGAGCUAAUCUCUUAAAGCCAAUCUCAGUUCGGAUUGUAGGCUGCAACUCGCCUACAUGAAGUCGGAAUCGCUAGUAAUCGCGGAUCAGCACGCCGCGGUGAAUACCGUUCCCGGGCCUU